RNAcentral lists this ribosomal RNA (747 nucleotides) under uncultured rumen protozoa. Its description in RNAcentral is "bacterial SSU rRNA". It matches the Rfam family "Eukaryotic small subunit ribosomal RNA", at positions 698 to 1716 of the family's 1831-position model. The record is from RNAcentral.
GUUAUAAGUCUGUAUAAGACUUGGGCAUAGUUUAUUCCAGGGAUCUGUUCAAGACUACUUUGCAGAGCACCAAGGGUGUUUCUAUCAGUCGAGAUAGGGAUCAAAACAAUCAGAUAUUGUAGUAGUUCAAUGUGAGAAUGUGCGGUUAGGAUUGGACGGCACUACCAUCCAGUACUAUGAGAAUCAAAGUUAUUAGGUUCAGUGAGUCGUGCAGCCUGAACGUAAGAAAUUACAGAAAGACAACCAGAGGGAGGGGAGCGGGGGCCUCAUCCGCCUCACCACGGGAAACUUAACAAGAUACCAAGACAUAGGGAGGGGAUGGCAUUUAUGACUGGAGCACUCUCCGUCCUGUUGGUGGAAUUAUUUGUCUGGUUAAAUUCCGAUACGAACGAGACCUUAACCUGCUAAUUAGUCGUCCCCCAUUUUAUGGGAUAUGACUUCUUAGAGGGACUAUGCAUAUCAAGUACAAGAGAGAUAAGAGGCAAUAACAGGUCUGUGAUGCCCUUAUAUGUCCUGGGCUGCACGCGUGCUACACUGAUGCAUACAACAAGUGCCUAGCUAGACAUAGUAUGGCAAUCUGGAAUAUGCAUCGUGAUGGGGAUAGAUCUUUGCAAUUAUAGAUCUUGAACAAGGAAUUCCUAGUAAGUGCAAGUCAUCAUCUUUCAUUGAUUAUGUCCCUGCCCUGGGUAAACGAGAGAGACAAGUCGCUCCUACCGAUACCGGGUGAUCCGGUGAACUUGGACUAGG